AACUAAGUUUCAACAACGGAUCUCUUGGCUCUCGCAUCGAUGAAGAACGCAGCGAAAUGUGAUAAGUAAUGUGAAUUGCAGAAUUCAGUGAAUCAUCGAAUCUUUGAACGCACCUUGCGCUCCUUGGUAUUCCUUGGAGCAUGCCUGUUUGAGUAUCA
RNAcentral lists this ribosomal RNA (158 nucleotides) under Rhizoctonia sp. Onv4b1. Its description in RNAcentral is "5.8S ribosomal RNA". It matches the Rfam family "5.8S ribosomal RNA". From Rfam's summary of the family: 5.8S ribosomal RNA (5.8S rRNA) is a component of the large subunit of the eukaryotic ribosome. It is transcribed by RNA polymerase I as part of the 45S precursor that also contains 18S and 28S rRNA. The record is from RNAcentral. Lineage: Eukaryota; Fungi; Basidiomycota; Agaricomycetes; Cantharellales; Ceratobasidiaceae.